Molecule: long non-coding RNA, 1232 nt
Filed under: Phasianus colchicus (ring-necked pheasant)
Lineage: Eukaryota; Metazoa; Chordata; Aves; Galliformes; Phasianidae
Description: lncRNA (ENSPCLG00000005139.1)
Source: RNAcentral
GGAGCUCUCAGUGAAUCCAGGUGGUUUAGGCAAGACUGGACAUAGCUGGCAGGCAGAGCAGGAGGUACAGCUGGGUCUUGGACAAGCCUUCUGGUCAGCUAAUUUUAAGAUGCCCAGUUAGUCUUAAUUUUCAGUAUAAGUAACAUAAUAUUUGCAGCUUGGAUGCCAAAAUUGUCAGGCAUAGAGGAGGGGAAAAUAUGAAACCCUUCUGUGGAACAGGAUUAGGCAGGAUUAAAGUCUGAAGUGAUCAUGUUGCACUGCGUAGUGGAUACUGCCAGAGCCAACUCAAUAAAACUCAGUGGGACACUUGACAUUGUACAUUUUCAAGCAGCAAGUCAUAAAUCUAUAUUCAUGUGAAAUCUUUUGCAGUCAGCCUGAUGGGAGCAGAACAACUACACAACUUCAGGUUGCUGGUUUGGGGGAAUAAAGCACAAGUUGCUGCCUUGCAGGGAUAGAUUGUUGCUCAGAGAACUGGAAAGCAACUUGAGUGAUGUGGAUAGUUUUGUUUGAAUCAUUCUGCUAAAUGUGGCUUGAUUGUAGGGCAAUGUGAUUGCUACAAACCCAGUAAGAAUCCUUAAAACCUGAGAUUAAAGCCAGCUAUAUAUAUAUUUUUAGCAAGUCAUCCAGAGUUAACUAUAUAUAGAUGGCAGUUUGUACAACAGUUCAAAAUUUGACCGCCCAAAGCACAGAAAUACCUGCUUACCUUUUAUAAAUUAAACCACACACUUAAGUGCUUCACUGAAUGGGAAGUACUUAAGCAUUCUGCUUAAAUAUUGGGUUGAGUCAGGACUAAAUUUGUCUCACUCUGAGUUCAAAAUUACUUCCCUCAGAGCUAGCAUGAGCACUGAAAGACCAGUGUCAAAAAAGAUGGCAUAGAGAAUAUGCAUUCUUGCAUCCACCUUGCAUUGCAUCGUGUGCAUGUGGAGCUGGCUGCAGGUCUGCUGGUGGUGCUGGAUGCACUCUGGAGUUCCUUACUUGAUGGAGUGUUCUUCAAGCUCUGUAUCAAGCAGAUUUCUCAACUAUUGCAGACUCAACUCAGCCAGCCCCCAGCCAUGAGGCUACACAGAGCCUUAAACUCGCACAAGGGAUUUGUGAGCUGCUUGCUUGUUGAGAACAAAUCCUUGUCGAAAGGAACGCAUGACUUGCUGACCCUGGGUUCACAGCGCCUUCAUCCUGACGCUUCCGCACCGCCGAGGAGUCGGCUGCUCCGCAAAAUGAAGUCCCCAGAUUAG